UACGGAGGAUGCAAGUGUUAUCCGGAUUCAUUGGGUCUAAAGGGUGCGUAGGCGGAAUAUUAAGUCAGUGAUGAAAUCCUGCAGCUUAACUGUAGAACUGUUAUUGAUACUGGUAUUCUUGAAUGCAGUUGAGGUAGGCGGAAUGUGUAAUGUAGCGGUGAAAUGCUUAGAUAUUACACAGAACACCGAUUGCGAAGGCAGCUUACUAAACUGUGAUUGACGCUGAGGCACGAAAGCGUGGGGAGCAAACAGGAUUAGAAACCCCAGUAGUCC
This 273-nucleotide ribosomal RNA is filed under the name uncultured prokaryote. Its description in RNAcentral is "partial 16S ribosomal RNA". It matches the Rfam family "Bacterial small subunit ribosomal RNA", at positions 524 to 796 of the family's 1533-position model. The record is from RNAcentral.